UAGCAUAUCAAUAAGCGGAGGAAAAGAAACCAACAGGGAUUGCCUCAGUAACGGCGAGUGAAGCGGCAACAGCUCAAAUUUGAAAUCUGGCGCAAGCCCGAGUUGUAAUUUGCAGAGGAUGUUUCGGGUGAAGCCACGGUCCAAGUCCCUUGGAACAGGACGUCAUAGAGGGUGAGAACCCCGUACCUGGCCGUCGGUGCCCCCCGCUGUGAAACUCCUUCGACGAGUCGAGUUGUUUGGGAAUGCAGCUCUAAAUUGGUGGUAAAUUCCAUCUAAAGCUAAAUACCGGCCAGAGACCGAUAGCGCACAAGUAGAGUGAUCGAAAGAUGAAAAGCACUUUGAAAAGAGAGUUAAAAAGUACGUGAAAUUGUUGAAAGGGAAGCGCUUGCGGCCAGACUUGCCCGCGGUUGCUCAGCCCGCCUUUUGGCGGGUGCACUCUUCCGCGGUCAGGCCAGCAUCGGUUUGGGCGGCCGGAUAAAGGCGCCGGGAACGUGGCCUCCCCUCGGGGAGGUGUUAUAGCCCGGCGUGCAAUGCGGCCAGCCCGGACCGAGGUUCGCGCUCUGCUAGGAUGCUGGCGUAAUGGCCGUAAGCGGCCCGUCUUGAAACACGGACCAAGGAGUCUAACAUCUAUGCGAGUGUUUGGGUGUCAAACCCGUGCGCGUAAUGAAAGUGAACGGAGGUGGGAACCGCAAGGUGCACCAUCGACCGAUCCUGAUGUCUUCGGAAGGAUUUGAGUAAGAGCAUAGCUGUUGGGACCCGAAAGAUGGUGAACUAUGCGUGAAUAGGGUGAAGCCAGAGGAAACUCUGGUGGAGGCUCGCAGCGGUUCUGACGUGCAAAUCGAUCGUCAAAUUUGCGUAUAGGGGCGAAAGACUAAUCGAA
This 880-nucleotide ribosomal RNA is filed under the name Venturia nashicola. RNAcentral's name for it is "partial large subunit ribosomal RNA". It matches the Rfam family "Eukaryotic large subunit ribosomal RNA", at positions 36 to 939 of the family's 3401-position model. The record is from RNAcentral. Lineage: Eukaryota; Fungi; Ascomycota; Dothideomycetes; Venturiales; Venturiaceae.